UGGUCAUAUGCUUGUCUCAAAGAUUAAGCCAUGCAUGCGUAAGUUCACAUCCUAGAAAGAUGAAACUGCGAAGCGCUCAGUAAAUCAGUUAUUAUCUAUUCGGUGGUAUAAGCCAUGGAUAACUAUGGCAACACUAUAGCUAAUACAUGUACGAACUGUGCCCUUUACGGGGUGCAGGGCAUUUAUUAGUAAAAAACCGACUUUAAUGUGCAAGCAUUAUAUAGUUGAAACUGAAUAACUGUGCUUAUCGACUGGGUUUUCUGGUCGAUAGUCCGAUCGAAUUUCUGCCCUAUCAACUUGAUGUUGGGGUAGUGGCCCAACAUGGUUUUGACGGGUAACGGGGAAUCAGGGUUCGAUUCCGGAGAGGGAGCCUGAGAAACGGCUACCACAUCCAAGGAAGGCAGCAGGCGCGUAAAUUACCCAAUCCGGAUAACGGGAGGUAGUGACGAGAAAUAGCAAAGUGGGUCAAAGAUUCACUAUUGCAAUGAGAGUAAUUUAAUACCGUUAUCGAACGCAACUGGAGGGCAAGUCUGGUGCCAGCAGCCGCGGUAAUUCCAGCUCCAGUAGUGUAUAUCAAAAUUGUUGCGGUUAAAACGCUCGUAGUUGGAUGACAAAAAUUCCAGAUGAUAAAGUAUUCAAUAUACUUUAUCAGAUGGGGUCUUUUUAUUGCAAGUACCGGUUGUGGGAUUUAUUUCUUGUGACCGGCCCACUUGCAGAGCGUGCCUUGAAUAAAGCAGAGUGCUCAAAGCAAGCGUUACGCUAGAAUGUUAUAGCAUGGAACGAACARCCAGAUUUCUGGUUCAGUUGGUUGGUUUGUCAAUUUAUUGACACUGAACCGGGUCAUGAUUAAAAGGGACAUUUGAGGGCGUUAGUACUAGGUGGCGAGAGGUGAAAUUCUUUGACCCACACGGGACUAACAAAUGCGAAGGCAUUCGCCAAGGAUGUUCUCAUUAAUCAAGAACGAAAGUUGGAGGUUCGAAGACGAUCAGAUACCGUCGUAGUUCCAUACAGUAAACUAUGCCACCACGGGAUCAGUCCGUGUUUUAAACAGGUUGGUCCCCCAGGGAAACCUUAAGUGUUCGGGUUCCGGGGGGAGUACGGUCGCAAGGCUGAAACUUAAAGGAAUUGACGGAAGGACACCACCAGGAGUGGAGCCUGCGGCUUAAUUUGACUCAACACGGGGCAACUCACCAGGUCCAGACAUUGAAAGGAAUGACAGACUGAUAGAUCUUUCAUGAUACGAUGAUUGGUGGUGCAUGGCCGUUCUUAGUUGGUGGAGUGAUCUGUCAGGUCUAUUCCGGUAACGAGCGAGACCACGAUCUCUAUUUUAUGGCUCUGCUCAACAGUUAUGUCUUGCUUUUAAAGCUUGACAUACGAGCAGAGAUAUUAGAGAGACCACCGAGCGGUUUUAAGCCGGGGGAAGCGUGGCAAUAACAGGUCUGUGAUGCCCUUCGAUGUUCUGGGCUGCACGCGCGCUACAAUGGCAGUGACAGAAAGUUACCACUCCGAAAGGAGUGGUUAAUCAGAAAUCGCUGUCGUGCUUUGGAUUGAGCCUUGUAAUAAUUGCUCAUGAAAGAGGAAUUCCUUGUAAGCGCGAGUCACCAACUCGUGUUGAAUACGUCUCUGUCCUUUGUACACACCGCCCGUCGCUACUACCGAUUGAACUGGAUUUCGAAAAGUAGAGAUUUGGUCCCCCGCAAGGGGAGACUGGAGAACCACUUUAAGAAAUUCAUUUGAAAGGAAGUAAAAGUCGUAACAAGGCUU
This 1764-nucleotide ribosomal RNA is filed under the name cf. Latyspora sp. AK-2014. Its description in RNAcentral is "SSU rRNA". It matches the Rfam family "Eukaryotic small subunit ribosomal RNA". The record is from RNAcentral. Lineage: Eukaryota; Metazoa; Cnidaria; Myxozoa; Bivalvulida.